GUAAAUGCGCAACGUCCUGCAGGUACUUGCACACAACAGAAGAGAGGGAAAUUUAUUGUUGCUAAAGAUCGAAAUGGUGAUGAUGAUGUCGCGGUUUGUAUUCAACGUCAUGGAAAAUAUCAAUGGCAUGUGAUCAAAGGUACUAACAUCGUCUUUAUGUCUUAUGUCUUUUUUUUUUAUUUUCACACCAUGCAGUAUAUAGAGAAUAAUACAUGCAUGGUGCGCGGAAAUACCAGAUUUAUUUCGAGUGUUGAACAUGAUAUCUCACGAGUGAGCGCAGCGAACGAGUGAGAUAUCAUGUUCAACACGAGAAAUAGAUCUGGUAUUUCCAAGCACCCAUGUAUUUUUCUGUUUAUUAUAUAAACAAAAUUCAGUGAAAACAAUAACAUGUCCGUGGCAAUGCGUUUUACAACAAAUGAUAUUUUUACACGUAAAAAUAUCGUUUUUUUACGUGUGUUUAAAUACGAUAUUUCUCAGUGGCCAAAACCUCUAUAUAAUACUUAUGUUUAUAUAAUAAAACUUUUCAAUUCACAGUUUCUGCAUGUUAACGGCGUUUGUAAAGAUUAAAUGAAUAUAAUUUAUCUAGAUUCAUGUUCCUUAUAUGAAUCUGGGCCACAUUGUUUAUAUAUACUGUCCCUGAUAUCCUGCCUAUGACCUGCCUUUUACCUUCGAUUCGGCUGCUGCUCAGUUAGUUCGACCAUUGGAACCACAUCUCGGACUGUCGAAAGGUAAACGUUCUGGUAUAAUUUGUCGUUAAUGUCGCUGAUGCUGCUCUUUUUGUUUUUAAAGACCUUGAAGUGCUGACAUAUGAAUCAUGCAAACAAAUAUUGAUGAGUCCAAGGUAAAAUACAUGCAUAUACACUUACACACAUAAAUGGCUUUUAUUUCAUCACGUUACUCCCUAGCCUCUCACAACUAUUUUAAAAUAAAAACCAAGCUGGUUUACAGAAGGGGCGUAACUGCUAUACUAGUCCGUAACUAUACUAUUACAUCCACAACUUCAAAUACAAUUAUACCAUUGUUCCACAACAUGGACCCACUAUAUCUACAGCUUCGCUUGAGGAGAUUCGUUUUUGGUUUUGGUAGAGAUAUAGAUUAUAUCAGUUUCCAUUAAAUUGCGUAAAUUCAGUAUAAACAGAAAACUAUAAGUUAAAAAAUAUUUCGUUUAUCUUACAGCAACAAUGGAAAUGGUGUUUACCAAAUCAGUGUCGGGAACAAUAAAUUUAUCGACGUGUACUGUCAAAUGACUAA
This is a non-coding RNA of Paramuricea clavata, 1251 nucleotides long. The record is from the annotation of a GenBank genome assembly. Lineage: Eukaryota; Metazoa; Cnidaria; Anthozoa; Malacalcyonacea; Plexauridae.